GACGAACGCUGGCGGCGUGCCUAAUACAUGCAAGUCGAACGCAUUUUCUUUCACCGUAGCUUGCUACACCGAAAGAAAAUGAGUGGCGAACGGGUGAGUAACACGUUGGUAACCUGCCCAUCAGCGGGGGAUAACACUUGGAAACAGGUGCUAAUACCGCAUAAUUCCAUUUACCGCAUGGUAAGUUGAUGAAAGGCGCUUUUGCGUCACUGAUGGAUGGACCCGCGGUGCAUUAGCUAGUUGGUGGGGUAACGGCCUACCAAGGCUGCGAUGCAUAGCCGACCUGAGAGGGUGAUCGGCCACACUGGGACUGAGACACGGCCCAGACUCCUACGGGAGGCAGCAGUAGGGAAUCUUCGGCAAUGGACGCAAGUCUGACCGAGCAACGCCGCGUGAGUGAAGAAGGUUUUCGGAUCGUAAAACUCUGUUGUUAGAGAAGAACAAGGAUGAGAGUGGAAAGUUCAUCCAUUGACGGUAUCUAACCAGAAAGCCACGGCUAACUACGUG
Molecule: ribosomal RNA, 507 nt
Filed under: uncultured bacterium
Lineage: Bacteria
Description: partial 16S ribosomal RNA
Rfam family: Bacterial small subunit ribosomal RNA
Source: RNAcentral